UAAAACACCCAACUUCUGAAUGUUGACCUCGAAUCAGGUAG
RNAcentral lists this ribosomal RNA (41 nucleotides) under Fusarium oxysporum. RNAcentral's name for it is "partial 28S ribosomal RNA". Lineage: Eukaryota; Fungi; Ascomycota; Sordariomycetes; Hypocreales; Nectriaceae. The record is from RNAcentral.